RNAcentral lists this transfer RNA (68 nucleotides) under Roseburia intestinalis. It matches the Rfam family "tRNA", at positions 5 to 66 of the family's 71-position model. Rfam says of the family: Transfer RNA (tRNA) molecules are approximately 80 nucleotides in length. Their secondary structure includes four short double-helical elements and three loops (D, anti-codon, and T loops). RNAcentral also lists the same sequence under 3 other names. Lineage: Bacteria; Bacillati; Bacillota; Clostridia; Lachnospirales; Lachnospiraceae. The record is from RNAcentral.
ACCGUAGUCUAAUGGAUAGAACACCGGACUCCGACUCCGGCAAUGCGGGUUCGAUUCCCGCCGGGUGC